ACUCCUACGGGAGGCAGCAGUGGGGAAUAUUGCACAAUGGGCGCAAGCCUGAUGCAGCCAUGCCGCGUGUAUGAAGAAGGCCUUCGGGUUGUAAAGUACUUUCAGCAGUGAGGAAGGUGGGUAUGUUAAUAGCAUACUCAUUUGACGUUAGCUGCAGAAGAAGCACCGGCUAACUCCGUGCCAGCAGCCGCGGUAAUACGGAGGGUGCGAGCGUUAAUCGGAAUUACUGGGCGUAAAGCGCAUGCAGGUGGUUUGUUAAGUCAGAUGUGAAAGCCCGGGGCUCAACCUCGGAAUUGCAUUUGAAACUGGCAAACUAGAGUACUGUAGAGGGGGGUAGAAUUUCAGGUGUAGCGGUGAAAUGCGUAGAGAUCUGAAGGAAUACCGGUGGCGAAAGGCGGCCCCCUGGACAGAUACUGACACUCAGAUGCGAAAGCGUGGGGAGCAAACAGGAUUAGAUACCCUGGUAGACUCUGC
This 474-nucleotide ribosomal RNA is filed under the name uncultured bacterium. Its description in RNAcentral is "bacterial SSU rRNA". It matches the Rfam family "Bacterial small subunit ribosomal RNA", at positions 335 to 800 of the family's 1533-position model. The record is from RNAcentral.